Molecule: transfer RNA, 71 nt
Filed under: Loxodonta africana (African savanna elephant)
Lineage: Eukaryota; Metazoa; Chordata; Mammalia; Proboscidea; Elephantidae
Rfam family: tRNA
About the family: Transfer RNA (tRNA) molecules are approximately 80 nucleotides in length.
Source: Rfam by way of RNAcentral
GCAUUGGUGGUUCACUGGUAGAAGUCUCACCUUCCACGUGGGAGAUCUGGGUUUGAUUUCAGGCCAAUGUA